This 301-nucleotide ribosomal RNA is filed under the name uncultured bacterium. RNAcentral describes it as "partial 16S ribosomal RNA". It matches the Rfam family "Bacterial small subunit ribosomal RNA", at positions 509 to 807 of the family's 1533-position model. The record is from RNAcentral.
CAGUAGCCGCGGUAAUACGAAGGUCCCGAGCGUUGUUCGGAAUCACUGGGCGUAAAGGGAGCGUAGGCGGCGUGGUAAGUCAGAUGUGAAAUCCCGGGGCUCAACCCCGGAACUGCAUCCGAUACUGCCGUGCUAGAGGAUUGGAGAGGUAGCUGGAAUUCUUGGUGUAGCAGUGAAAUGCGUGGAGAUCAAGAGGAACACUCGUGGCGAAAGCGAGCUACUGGACGAUAUCUGACGCUGAGGCUCGAAGGCCAGGGUAGCGAAAGGGAUUAGAUACCCCUGUAGUCCCUGUCUCUUAUAC